GACGAACGCUGGCGGCGUGCUUAACACAUGCAAGUCGAACGCUGAAGCUCAGCUUUUGUUGGGUGGAUGAGUGGCGAACGGGUGAGUAACACGUGAGUAACCUGCCUCCUUCUUUGGGAUAACGCCCGGAAACGGGUGCUAAUACUGGAUAUUCACUGGUCUUCGCAUGGGGGUUGGUGGAAAGGGUUUUUCUGGUGGGGGAUGGGCUCGCGGCCUAUCAGCUUGUUGGUGGGGUGAUGGCCUACCAAGGCUUUGACGGGUAGCCGGCCUGAGAGGGUGACCGGUCACAUUGGGACUGAGAUACGGCCCAGACUCCUACGGGAGGCAGCAGUGGGGAAUAUUGCACAAUGGGCGCAAGCCUGAUGCAGCGACGCCGCGUGAGGGAUGGAGGCCUUCGGGUUGUGAACCUCUUUCGCUCAUGGUCAAGCCGCAACAAUAGUUGUGGUGAGGGUAGUGGGUAAAGAAGCGCCGGCUAACUACGUG
This 483-nucleotide ribosomal RNA is filed under the name uncultured bacterium. RNAcentral's name for it is "partial 16S ribosomal RNA". It matches the Rfam family "Bacterial small subunit ribosomal RNA", at positions 28 to 507 of the family's 1533-position model. The record is from RNAcentral.